Eucalyptus grandis is the source of this 508-nucleotide long non-coding RNA. RefSeq lists it as uncharacterized. The transcript is spliced from 4 exons. Lineage: Eukaryota; Viridiplantae; Streptophyta; Magnoliopsida; Myrtales; Myrtaceae. The record is from RefSeq and is a predicted model, not a curated record.
AUGGCGGGGAAUACCUACGAGGUUGAAUAACAUUCCUCACUCCAGAGAAGGUAGGACAUAUUUCUAUGAUGAUGUGCUUCAAGCUACGCAGAGAGCCAUAUAUGAUGGAAAAACAAGACUAAAGUUUUCCUCAUCAACAUAUGCGUUACUCCCAAAGCCAAACUCAUGCUGCUCUUCUUGUGAACAUUUCAGUCUGGACAGGAUGUUUAUAGAAUUGGUACACUGAUGGAACUUGCCAGGGUUAUUGCUCUUUCGUUUGCUGAGGAUGGAAAACGUGUUGAGGUUUGUGUUCAAGGGUCCAUGGGAGAAGGUGCUCUUGCUGGAAUGCAACUGCAGCUUGUAGUCGCAAGGUAAUGGAGUUCAUGGAUUGAGGAGAUCAUGGUGCAUUAGGAACCUCUGUCAAGAUUGGAUCUAUAGGUAUAUGGUUGGGGAAAUUGAGUUUUAUCUAAUUAGGGCAAUCAUACCAUUGACUACUUCUCUCCUUGGUCAUCAGCAGACAAAGUGGUUU